GCAACGUGUCAAAAGCAAACUUGAUGAUCUGCCUUCUACCAAACUCAUUGACUUCCUCAGAGGUAAAAUCCAAACGUUGGAGAAAGUCAAAAAAGAGAUAGUGGGUGUUUUUGGGAAGACUGGAGCUGGUAAGAGCUUCUUGAUUAACACCAUCUUGGGUGAGACAAAAUUGCUGCCCUCUGGAAACCAAGGGGCAUGCACCUCGGUCAUGAUUCAGGUGGAGGCCAAUAUGACAGACUCGAAGUACAUCGCAGAGAUUGAGUUCAUGACAGAGGAGGAAUGGAAAGAAGAGCUAUGGUCCAUCUUCAGAGACAGAUCUUAUGAGGAUGGAAAUGAUGAAGACCAGG
This 347-nucleotide long non-coding RNA is filed under the name Salmo salar (Atlantic salmon). RNAcentral describes it as "lncRNA (ENSSSAG00000110703.1)". The record is from RNAcentral. Lineage: Eukaryota; Metazoa; Chordata; Actinopteri; Salmoniformes; Salmonidae.